AUCCAUGUUCAAGGCAUUUAUUGCUCGAGCGUUGACUGGUCCUCAGAGAGAGGACAAGUGUACAGAGCAGUCUUCUGAAGAGGGAUGGGUACUUGAGUCCUCAGUGUCACCUGAGUCACAGCCACAUGGGCCUGCUGGUCCGUUAGACCUACAGUCUCCUCUCAACCAAUCCCAAGGGUCCUCUCUCUUCUCAGUCAUUGCUCAAAGGGAUCCUCCAAUUGCUUAAGCCAAGCUCAUAAGCCACACAUUGUAGGGCGCCCUCCAAUGGUGAACAACGGUACUGCGCAUGCGCAGGUUUUGCACCUGGCGUCAGUUGGCCGGUAAUAUGCUAAUGAGGGGGCGGUACCAUGCUAGUGAGGUGAUUCAUUCUCCGCCAAUCCAUGGAGGACAAGUAGCAGGGGUGAUAGUGGGGUGAUAGUGGGGUGAUAGUGGGGUGAUUCGUGCCCUGCCAAUCCCUGAAAGACAAUUAGCAUAGCCCCAGCCUGUUGUGUAUAUAAGGCGAGCGCUUUUGCCACUCGAGGUCCCCGUAUCAGCAAUGAAGGUGUCCUGCAAUAAAGGCUGUUGACAAGGAUCCGACGGUGUUGCGUCUUCCUUGCCGGACGAGGUGGGCACGACAACACAUGAACAUCCGAGAGCGGUAGAGGCACUCGGUGAUGCAUGUUUCUGACAUAGCUGGUGGAACUCCUUUCUCCAUCAAAGGGGCUCCUGAUGAAGAAACGCCAGCAAACGGGAGACCUUUGGGAUAGUAUCAACCGAAUUUCCUGAGUAAUCAGUUAAACUAAGAAGCACGUGGCUGUGCCUAGAGAGCGGACUCGGUUAGUAGAGUAUUUGCUGCACAAUCAUGGGAGCUUGAGUUUGGAUCCCAGCACCCUGUUUAAAAAACAAAACAAAACAAAACAAAACAAACAAAAACAAAACCGCAGAUCGUGGUGUGCCUGUAGACCUAGAACCAGGCAAACAGGGUCAAGAGGAUCUCUGGGCCUUUUGUCUAUCCUGUUCAGUUAAUUCAUUGAGACACCCAGAAACAGAAAAGUAAAGGAAAUGGAUUGAAGAGCACCGCUGAUACUGACCUCUGACCGCCAUACACAAGGACGCAUAUGUGCGCAUGCGCUUGAUUUACCCACCGCCAGGAAAGGAAUGCGCCUUUCUAAAUGUAAUGCGUGCGCCUUUCUAAAUGUAAGGCUUUCAAAGCGUUAACUUUUUUGUAGAAAUAAAAAGUUUGUGAAACUUUAUGCAACAGUGACAAAGAAUUCUAAAAGGUAAGAAGGAUGUCUUCGCUCCCAGGAUACAUGGAAGCGCCUGGCUAGAACGUGGGCACCCGCAAACAGGCGUAAGAGCGUCACCACCGCCUCACGGAUGUCUUGUAGCUCCUAGAAAUAUCAGGAUUUGUUUUUCAUAUUAAUUCAAUUCAAAUCCCAGUGGUCACUCUGACAUUAAGGAGGAGAGAAUUGCGCUUCGGUGCUGGGCGAACAAAAUGAGUGUUUCUGUCUGGUACAGCGAGUUUCAUCGGGAGAGCAGCCGGCAGAAUGAUGGAGCCUUUGUUUCUCUCUGAAAGGAACAAAACCGAACCAUUUAGUAAAUAAUACCAAGUGACCUUGGUAAAUACAACCUCCUCUCUCCCGAGGAUAUUUAAAAUUUCCCAAAACCUUGCCUCCAAACACGGGUAAUAGGACUCGUUUCCAGAUAAGCUGUGAACUUAAUCCACAGGGAAAGGAGUUGUCAAUCCCUUCUCAAACAAACUCAGCUCAGCCUGCACUUGCUGCGCUUCUAAUUCUUGUUUCCAAUUCUUGUCUCUAUGUGAGAUAAGAAGUAGCAAAGUCCCUAAAACAGGUGAGGCAUUUUAAAGAAGGGAUUGGGGACCUUUGCAUGGUCUUUGACCUCUGGCCACUAGAGAUGACAGUGUGUUGAAUGGAAUGGCCAGGACACUCAAUCCCUGGCAAAUAUUGAGGAUCUCAUUCUGGCUGUCGGGUGCAUGAAACUAACAGCCAAGCUGUCCGAAGCCCAGGCAGCACUAGAAGAAGCCUUACUCGUUUAAAUUUUUAUCAUUUUCUCUGAGCACCUUUUAUCCGUGGUAAGAAUAAAAACCAGAAGUUAGGAAGGGACACAGAAACAGAGGCAAAGACAGAGACAGAGGACGCCACAAGAAGGAAGCCUUAGGGUCCCGACAGAGGCUUCUAAGGGAGCGGAAUUAGAACAGAGUGCUGUGGGAGGGACAGAGUUCGAAUUGGUGUCACCAGCUUGGUUUCUAAUGACAGUUUUGCAGAACUCUUAACACAGGAAAAAUUAUAAAGCCCUUUAACCUCAGUUUCCCAGUGUGAAUUUAGGUAUAACGAGUCAAAAUACACACAGCUCACUGGACAUCGGAGACUAUGAGUACGUUCCUACUGUUCACAGGCUCAAAUCCUGUAACUAAAGGUAGAGUUCAGACAGUCUGGGCCAAGGGACUUUCCUCAGUUACCAGUAAAAUGCACAUCAAAAAUUCUAGCAUUGUGGCCUGGAGGAGAAAAUGUAUGCUAGCUACCGUAAACUCCAUUCUGAUGGAGUUAGAAAUAAAGAAGUCGCCCCCAGGAUGGAGGAAAGUUCAAACAUCAUGCUGGUAAAAUUAUCAGCUUGUGCCUAUAAUUGGAUCUCACAGGUAAUUGCAAAAGCUGCUAUUGAAAGAACAGCUUGAAUUUUUCCCUAAACAACGAGGGUGCCAGGAGCAGCUGCAGAUGUGGUCAGCCCUGUGCCCCGGUUCAGAAGUCAUGAUUCUCAUACGACAUUACAUUUUCUGACAAACAUGACUUUAAAAAAAGAAAAUAAUCAAAGAGAACAUCUCAACAAAAGCCUUGGCUGCUGGAACAUAAUAGACAUCUGUCUAGAUAAAGCUCAAAGGUGGCAAAGAUCAUGGACGUAAAUCUUUUGUGCCUCUGACAAGCUGGGGUCACAGGGCUGUGUGGACAGGUUUCUACUUCCGGUUUCUCGUGCAGGGUCUCCAUUCGGAUGAGAAUGCCUCGACUUGGAGAGAGCGCAGAUAGGUCUUGAGUUCCUGAUCCUGCCUCUUGCUCCUCUGCCCUUCCUGAUUGUAUCCGUCAAGUUGACCAACGACUCACAUUGGUCAUUACUGAAGCCACCUUGCCGGCUACAUCCUUCAUACUCACAUCCGCUUGACUAGCCCAUCCUGCUGGCUUUACCUUCAAAGACAGAUACAGAACCACCGGAGUAGACCAACCAGCCAGAUGUUCUUUGAAUUUUUUUUCCUGGGCUUGAAAGGUCCAUGUCAAAGCCAGUCCUGCUAAGGGCAUGUUUGGAAAAAAGCAUCUAAGGACUCAUUCAGGAGAAUUGAAAACUUCCCAGAGAGGCCCAGUUCAAGAGGAGACAUUGGGAAUGGAGAGAGAGCUCAAUAAGCAGAGGUACUGCUGUGCAAUCAUGAGGACCCCACUUCAAUCUCCAAUACUCAUUAAAAGCCAGGCAUGGUGCAUCAUGCUUAUAAUUUGUAAAAUGGAGAGAUGGAGACAGGUAGGUCUGUUGAUCCACCCUAUCCUAGUUGACAAAUUCCAAGCAAGUGAGAAACUCUUUCUCAGACAACAAGAUCAAAGGCAUCUGAAGUAGGUCACCUGAGAUUGACCUCUGACCCACAUGUAGACAAACAUCAGACAUCCCAGACAUGGCUCCUUUCUUAUUUUCCAUCCUCCCCAAUUUCUCCCUUCCUCCUUUUUGCUCCAAUUCUUUCUCUCUUACACACAAGAAUGGCCAUAGGAUGGUAUGGUCCUAAGGCCAUCAUAAAACAGUUAGAAAAUGUCUCUAAUUUGUGGUAAUUCUAUUUAAAAUGUUAAGUAGAAUUCUCUUGUGAAAACAGGUAGCUCAGAGAGUCCUCUCAUGUUUUCAUAUAUGAAUUAAACCUGAUUACUAACAUCAGACAAUUUACACUAUCCAUUUCAUACAGAGCAGGUUGUCAUAGUAUGUGGGUCCUGAGAAUGUAGUUCAGUUCAUCUUAACUGUAAGACACUACACAGUGCCACGUGCUGUAUUGCCAGUGGCUUUAAGGGCUCAGCGAUAGCAUCUCUUAUCCUCAGGAAUGGUGACCUCACCUGGAAUUAUUUAUGCUUUGCCUUUUUCAGUUGUGUUAGAAUUCUACUGGGGUUUUGCCUCUUUUUCUUUUAUUGAAGAAUCAGCUCUUUUAUUAUGUUUGCUGAGUUCCUAAUUUUAAUUUCGACAUCUACUCAUCUCCCUGUUUCCUUAUACUUAUACUCUUUGAUUAUGGAACUUUACAUUAUGUUCUAAGAAUUUUUAGAAUUUAUGUGCAUAUGUGUGCCCUUCACCAGUUUAUGAAAACUGUGUGGGUGUAUGUAGAGGCCUGAAGAAGUUGUUGCAUCCCCUGGAACCAGAGUUACAGGUGGUUGUGACAUACCCAAUGUGUGUGCUAAUAACAGAACCUGGGUCCGCUGUUAUGACAUGCUCUUAUCUGCUAAGGUAUCAUCUUUACUGCUGAAUCAUCAAAUCUACUGCUGAGUCAUCAAAUCUACUGCUGAGUCAUCAAAUCUACUGCUGAGUCAUCAUCUCUCCCAGCUUUUAAUUGAGAUAUUUAAGUAGAAAUUUAGAAUGCAUUUUCUUUUCUGAUAAAAGUCUGUGAGUUCUGCAGAUCCCUCAGCUCCUGUCCAAAGCUGCCAAGACUACUUCAGAAUUAAAAGAACAAAAUGUCUGGUUUAUUCUUUCCCAGAUCUAUUAAUUCAUUAGGUAUUGUAAAAUGAAGAUAUUCUAUCUCUAUCAGUCUUUGCUCAUUCAUAUUACCAAUUCACUAAAGAGAAUUUUCCCUUGUUGACUGCUUGGUUGCCCUAGUAACCUGAUGCCAGCUCUCCUAGUGAUUUUUAAACUACUUCAUGUUUUUGGAUGCAUUGUAAGCUGUCUAACAUUCUCUAGCAUUGGAUAUUUAAACCAUUUAUAUUCCUUUGUCCUUUGUACACUGAUUCUGCAUUGAAUAAACUUGUCCAAACCA
Non-coding RNA from Rattus norvegicus (Norway rat), 4975 nucleotides. The record is from RefSeq and is a predicted model, not a curated record. NCBI's taxonomy places the organism in Eukaryota, Metazoa, Chordata, Mammalia, Rodentia, Muridae.